Molecule: ribosomal RNA, 253 nt
Filed under: uncultured bacterium
Lineage: Bacteria
Description: partial 16S ribosomal RNA
Rfam family: Bacterial small subunit ribosomal RNA
Source: RNAcentral
UACGUAGGGACCAAGCGUUGUUCGGAAUUACUGGGCGUAAAGCGUGCGCAGGCGGUUUGCUAAGAGAGAUGUGAAAUCCCCGGGCUUAACCUGGGAACUGCGUUUCUAACUGGCAGGCUUGAGUGUGGCAGAGGGGGGUGGAAUUCCACGUGUAGCAGUGAAAUGCGUAGAUAUGUGGAGGAACACCGAUGGCGAAGGCAGCCCCCUGGGCUAACACUGACGCUCAUGCACGAAAGCGUGGGGAGCAAACAGG